Long non-coding RNA from Astatotilapia calliptera (eastern happy), 773 nucleotides. Lineage: Eukaryota; Metazoa; Chordata; Actinopteri; Cichliformes; Cichlidae. The record is from Ensembl.
CCGGUUUCAAUCCAUUUUUUUCGGUUUCAAACCAUUUUUCAGUUUCAAUCUGCUGGCACUGUUUUGGCGUCCGGGGGCGCGCUGGGGGGCGGGGAUUCCGACCCGCAUGUAUUUGCAUAUAUUAUAAUGCUGACCAAUGACUGGAGAAAACACUGACGACGCGGCUGCGGUCACGGACAAACUCGCACGUGUCUGUUCGGGAAUGGCAGAUGCCGAGAGGUCCAGCGUUUACAUUACCGACUAUUUCAAAGUGACAGCCUGAGGUGUUCUUCAGUAACUUGGACUACCGGACAGGAGGACCUGAGGCCCCACCGCAUUAUUUUUGGAUGCAGCAGCAGACUGAACCUCGACUGAAACCUGCUCCAUCAUCUCAUCUUUGCAGAUGUCCAUUUAUAAAGCAUCAACAACUCAAAGGAGCUGUCCUCAGAUUCAGACCUCAGCACCACCCAGUGACAGCAGACAGAUCAUCCUAUAGCUUCAAUCUUUGUAGUAACUCCAAAAUUAACUGAAGAAAACAGUACAAAGGUUAAAGUACCACAUGUGCUGUCAGUGAAAGCUGCAGCUGUUUUAUUGAUAAAUUUAAAGACAAAAAGUCAAAAGGAUUAAUCACCCCUGUAACUGUGUCACUGUACAUCAGCAUUAACAGGACCUCAGUUUGGUGUUUCAGAAAACUGCUGAUCUCAGACCUGCACAACUUCUGUUUUAAACACUGAAUGUACUCAGCUACAUGAAGAGCACGUGAUGUUUUCUCUGACACAAUUAAAUAAAACCUG